CCUACGGGGGGCAGCAGUGAGGAAUAUUGGUCAAUGGACGCAACUCUGAACCAGCCACGCCGCGUGCAGGAAGACGGCUCUAUGAGUUGUAAACUGCUUUUGUACGAGGGUAAACGCAGAUACGCGUAUCUGUCUGAAAGUAUCCUACGAAUACGGAUCGGCUAACUCCGUGACAGCAGCCGCGGUAAUCCGGAGGAUUCAAGCGUUAUCCGGAUUCAUUGGGGUUAAAGGGUGCGUAGGCGGUCGGAUAAGUUAGAGGUGAAAUCCCGAGGCUCAACUUCGGAAUUGCCUAUGAUACUGUUCGGCUAGAGAGUAGUUGCGGUAGGCGGAAUGUAUGGUGUAGCGGUGAAAUGCUUAGAGAUCAUACAGAACACCGAUUGCGAAGGCAGCUUACCAAGCUACUUCUGACGUUGAGGCACGAAAGCGUGGGGAGCAAACAGGAUUAGAUACCCCUGUAGUC
This 460-nucleotide ribosomal RNA is filed under the name uncultured bacterium. Its description in RNAcentral is "partial 16S ribosomal RNA". It matches the Rfam family "Bacterial small subunit ribosomal RNA", at positions 338 to 795 of the family's 1533-position model. The record is from RNAcentral.